ACAAAACUUAAAACUAAUCAAACUUAGGUGAACCAAUUAUAGAGAACAUAACCCUUGUAACCAAUCGGGAAAAGAUGCUUUUAAAUCCCAGAAAAAAAAAUUAAGAGGAGUUUUUUAAAAAACCAUCAUUUCAAUUAUUUUCCAGUCUUACAUUUGGAUUAAACAGAAAAUAUAAGUAAAAAUGCCAACUUUCUAAAAAAACUACAACUAUUUUUACAAAUUUCCAUUACCCAAUGCUGAAAAAUGAGAAUCACGAAGCAAUGAAGAACGGAACACGCGAGAACCAAAAAGUUAAAAACAACACGUAACCAUUUCAAAGACCCAAAAUCCUGCAAGGACAAAAAAAUCCCAUAAAAUCAGUACAUCAGCACUCCCUGCAAAACCCCAAAAUCAGAAAAUUAUAAAAAGAACCCAAAAUCAGUGGCAUGGUCCUCGUUUCUCCAUCAUUCAGUAGCUAAUGACCUAAUGGAAAAGAACCCAAAACAUACAGCUUAAAAUAUGGAAAGUGCUUAUAAAAGCUCAUGAAUAACGUUCAAAGCCUGCAUAGAAAUGGUAUAGCGCAGAUAACAACAAACAAUAAAACUAUGCACAGUAUAACCUAAAUCCGAUAUGUUGCAUUCCCCACACACAGAUUGUUCAAAAUUAAUUUCGUCUCCGUCUUUUUUCAAAUCUGAUAAAAUCCCCAAAACACAAAAAAUAGCAGCUAACUAUUUUUUGAACUCUGUAAACAACGAUAUGCAUCUUAACCCAUUUAACAUAUUCAUAAAAUAACAUCAAACACAUUUAUGCAUGAGAUAAUAUAGAAGUGAAGUCUCACAACUUUCAUAAAAAAUUAUUACUUUGUUAGAGAAAGGCUUGAAAAAAUAUGUAAAUUACUCACCUCUAUUACAAAAAUGUUACAACAGUAGACAAAAAAGGCCAAAAAUACCAAAAGCCGCACCUCCUGAAAUAAAAAACAUAACCAAACGACACAUUCUCAGUAUCUAAACGAUAUCCAGAAAAAAAGAAAUGAACAGACGAAACCCAUGUAAAUAUACAGAACAAACCAAAAAAAAAAAAAAGAACUGAAGCCAGUAAGAAGAUCACAAAUCUGAUAAAGCAAAAGGUAACAUAAUCUAUAUCGAUUUAAUUAUCCAUCCAAAAAGACAUUUGAAUGAAGAACAUUUUUAAGGAUCCAAACAACCAUUAAACUAAACAAUUAAAAGUAAAAACAGCAAAGCAUUCAUUGAAGAAAUAUAUAUAUAUAUAUAUAUUAUAACGUAUUUUGUUCUUUAUACCUAAAAGAAAAACAUUGGCUUUCUUGUAUGCACUGAAGUAUGCAUGUGUCGGAAAUUUACAAUCUAUAGAGACUCAAUCUCAGACUCAAAAAGACAUCUAAAGGAAAAGUAAUAAGAAAAAUAAGUAGUGGUUUUACCUAUACUCCAUGUGUGGACUCCAAUUUUCAAUCACAAUUCAAAAUUCAAGAGGCCUAUAAAUCAACCACAUAGGAAAUGAUCAGUGGAAGAAAAAGAAAAACAACUGAAGCCAAAAUAGCAUCUAACAAAUCAUUUAGAACCAUCACAGAAAACAAUUUUUGCAUAUAAGUAAUUUAAAGGAAUACCAUCAGGUCAUGCAUAUAUACAACGUACCCAAUUAGAUAAGUAGCACAUCAACAAUUGAUGAUCAAAAAGUUAGUCAGCCUCAAUUGCUUGAAUCUAAUUAACUCAAAGAUAAUAAACAGUCCAUUUAAUGCACGGGCUGACUAUCAAUUUUAUAAAGCUAUAAUUCUGUGCAGUUCAAAAACCAAGUGGAAGAAUAGGCAAAAACUAUCUCAUCGCCUGUAAAUGUAAUUAACUAAAUAUUAAACUUCACAGCCACAAAUAAACCUAAAUUCCUCCUAAAACUAUCUCAUUUAAGCUUGAUUUUACUAUAAUCUAUAAGUGUGGUAAAAAAUGGGAGGCCAAACGAUUUGUUAACAAAAAAGGUAGACAUAAAAGUAAAAGGAACAGGGCAGACAUUAGUUGAGGAGAAGCUAAUGUCACCUUGAAUUGACGACAAACAGUUCUUAUCUUCUCGAAUUAACGAAGAUAAGUACCAUUUUUCUUUAAUUCAAGGUAAUAUAAAAAGAAAUUAUACCUGUACAGUGUUCAGAUGUAGCAAUCCUAUGCAAUCGGCCAAAUGAUGUGUGUCCUCUCAAAGAUCUGUAUAUCCAUUACAGACUAAUCUUCAGUCUUGCAGAAAAUGAUAUGUUGACUACAAUUUCCCAUACUACUAAAAAACACAAAUAAUUCUAUCUACAAACCAAAUAAUAUGUGCAACUUUAUGCUACAAUGGUAGAAUAAGAUGGUUGUACAGGACGACACAAAGAUUGAGACUUUUUUUUACUUCUAAAAUUCUACACACUUUCGAGCCCUAAAUUUUCCCGGAAACAAAAAAAAGUGAAAGAAGUCGUACCUGGUUUGAGAGAGUGGGACACCAUCGGCGAGUUUGGUGUAGCAGUGAUGGCGGAGAUCUCUGGUGAGAAAGCUAAUAAGAUGGACAAAAUCAUUGAACAAAAAAAACCUCGCUUUUUAAAAUUAAAGUCAACAAAAAUUUGAACAAAGAAAAGAGAACUCAAACCCGAAACAAAUAAGUCGGAGAACUCGCCAGGAAACCCAAAGUUUCUGCAGGAUUGGCGAUUUCCUGAAAACCAAGCUUUUGUAGGUUUAAAAUUUCUUCCCUAAGGCAACAGAUCCAACAUUCCCAACUUUAGCUAUUUCAGCUACAUAAUAGAAAGAAAAAAAAAUUUAUAUAAUUAACUAAUCUGAUUUAAGAUUAAUCGAAAAGCUUGGAAAUUUCAGCUUUAAAAUUACAUGUCAGGCUGCAAAUCUAAUAAAAAGCGUAGAAUUUUAAAAAUGCUGACCUUAAAUACAGAGGCCUUCGCAGGCUGCAAAGAAGCGUUAGAAACCCGAAAAACCGGAUCUCCUGAAACCAAAAACAAAACCAAAUUAACCAUCAUCACCCAUAAUUCGAAGCCACAAACAUAAUCCCCAAAAUUACAACCCAAAAAUUUAAACAAAAAAACCCAUUUAUAAAUCCAAAUUUACACUCCCAAGUGCAAGACUCUAAGCUCCAACUGUUCUUUCUCAACUUUAGCUAUUUCAGCAACAUAACAUAAAUAAAAAGGUCGUACCCAGUGCACAAGGCUCCCGCUUUACGCAGGGUCUGGGAGAGGUGAAUGUCGGCUAGCCUUACCCCCAUUUUAUGGAGAGGCUGCUCCCAAGUCUCGAACCCGAGACCUACCGCUCAUGGGCGAAGACACUUGCCAUCGCACCAAGUGCGACCUCUAGCAACAUAACAUAAAUAAAAAGAUCGUACCCAGUGCACAAGGCUCCCGCUUUACGCAGGGUCUGGGAGAGGUGAACGUCGGCUAGCCUUACCCCCAUUUUAUGAAGAGGCUGGAACAUAACAUAAAUAAAUAAACAAAAUUAAUUUAACUAUAAUUAACUAAUAUGAUUUAAGAUUAAUCAAAAAACUUGGAAAUCUGCUUGAAUCCAAUCUCAAAAUUGAAAACGAACACUUCACUUUUACAAAAGUUGUACAAAGCAAAAAAAAAAAAACAGACAAAUCAAAGUCUCACAAAGGGCCACAACGACAGCAAAAUUGCAACAGAAAGAGGAAAAAUGUUCAAUCAAACCAUUGGAUAACUCUUCUAAGGCAGCCAAAAAAAAACCCACAAAUUCAAAACCACAAAAAUCCAAUCUAAAACAUCGAUUCACAGACUGAGAUGCACAAAAUGAUAUAUUAACAAAUCCAAAACGAAAUACAAAAAUUAAGAACCAACAAGCAAAAAAAUACUGAUUAUCCCCUGCAUACGUGAGCACACGUUCAAAAAGCCUCUCAAAGGCUGAGAUUCAACUUUCAAACAUAAAGACUUUAAGCCACAAUUGUUCUUUCUUAACUUUAGCUACUUCAGUUACAUAAUCGGAAAAAAAAAAUUAUUUAAUUAUAGUUAACUAAUCUGGGUUAAGAUUAAUAAAAAAGCUUGGAAAUUUCAGAUCUAAAAUCACACCUCAGGCUGCAAGUAGAAUCAAAACCAUGGAAUUUCAAAAUCACUGACCUUAAACACACAGGUCUUCGCAGGCUUCAAAGAAAAGUCACAAACUCGAAAAACCCAAUCUCCUGAAAUCGAAAACAAAACCAAAUUAACCAUCAUCACCUAGAAUCCGAAGCUACAAAACAAAAUUCCCAAAAUCAAAACCAAAAAAUUUGAACAAAAAACUCAUUUAAUAUCCAAAUUUACACUCCCAAGCACAUAACAUUCAAAGCAGACAAUUACCCAAAUCAAAUCGACAGCAGGAGAUGCAAUCUUUUAUGGGCUUCAAAUUUUCUUCAAACCGAGACCAAAUUCGCUAGUUUUCAGCAAGAGAGCGUUGCCGUUUGUAACCCCCGAUGAAAAGAUCCAAACAAAUUUGACUAACAGUAGACAGAGAGAGAGAGAGAUAGAGAGAGAGAGGUGAAAAUUACUCGCUGGUGACGAAGCUAAUGAAUUCGGAGACGCAUUCCUGGACGGUGUUCGACUGAUCGGCACGAGUAGAGACACCAGAUCAGAAAGACAGAAAAAUUAGGGUUUGGGAGAUAAAGAAACUGGGGCAGAGAGAGAGGGAAAGAGAAGCAGAAAAGAGGAUAAUUUUAUGCAUUUUUUUUAGCCGCUUUGAAUUUUUUUUGGCCGACAGGCAUUUGCGUCCGAUUAUUUUUGUCGAAGCCGGUGACACCAAAACCGGCCUCCGGCUUUCGGACCAGGAUUGUCUGCCCCUUCAUUUUCCCUGCCAUGU
Molecule: long non-coding RNA, 4793 nt
Filed under: Malus domestica (apple)
Lineage: Eukaryota; Viridiplantae; Streptophyta; Magnoliopsida; Rosales; Rosaceae
Description: long non-coding RNA (MDOM_LNC014825)
Source: RNAcentral